UGGAUAUCAUCUACGAGGUCAGUC
This 24-nucleotide non-coding RNA is filed under the name Arabidopsis thaliana (thale cress). The record is from RNAcentral. Lineage: Eukaryota; Viridiplantae; Streptophyta; Magnoliopsida; Brassicales; Brassicaceae.